GGAAGGCUGCUUCAGGAGCCUCAUUAGUCAUUCCCUUUAGCAGCAUACAACAGGAUCUUGCAGCUGCCCUGUCUCUGCAGUAUUGCCCAAGGUAGAUGGAGGAGUUGUUACCAGAAUGCUAUCAAAGCAGAGUUUCCACAUCCAAAAGACUGAGAGCUCAGUUGAACAGAUUACCCCUUGGUCAGAAGAUAAAGAGGUCUGGCUCCACAGGUGCUACCAUCCAAGAGCUUGACCAUGUUUGAAAAAGUUUUACUGAAGGCAUUGGAAUCACAGAAAAGGUGUAAAAAGAUAAAAGAAUUAGAUGCCUAGGGAAACUAUUCUGUGCAUCUAGAUGUAAAUGCUCUUUCCUGGUACAUUCAUUUUUUAUUUACUGGACAGUCUUCCAAGAUUAUUGUUGGUACCAAGAGAAAAAUGAACUGACAUUUCAAAUGCAUUAAAUCAUAUGUGAACUGCUAAUUUCAAAAGGUGCUUCAACAUUUUUAUCUUGUCAAAAAAGAUUCUAGUCUGCCAUCACAAUUGAUGUUAA
This is a long non-coding RNA of Parus major (Great Tit), 526 nucleotides long. RefSeq lists it as uncharacterized. NCBI's taxonomy places the organism in Eukaryota, Metazoa, Chordata, Aves, Passeriformes, Paridae. The record is from RefSeq and is a predicted model, not a curated record. The transcript is spliced from 3 exons.